RNAcentral lists this ribosomal RNA (751 nucleotides) under Escherichia coli. Its description in RNAcentral is "partial 23S ribosomal RNA". It matches the Rfam family "Bacterial large subunit ribosomal RNA", at positions 2048 to 2798 of the family's 2925-position model. The record is from RNAcentral. Lineage: Bacteria; Pseudomonadati; Pseudomonadota; Gammaproteobacteria; Enterobacterales; Enterobacteriaceae.
UCGCUGUGAAGAUGCAGUGUACCCGCGGCAAGACGGAAAGACCCCGUGAACCUUUACUAUAGCUUGACACUGAACAUUGAGCCUUGAUGUGUAGGAUAGGUGGGAGGCUUUGAAGUGUGGACGCCAGUCUGCAUGGAGCCGACCUUGAAAUACCACCCUUUAAUGUUUGAUGUUCUAACGUUGACCCGUAAUCCGGGUUGCGGACAGUGUCUGGUGGGUAGUUUGACUGGGGCGGUCUCCUCCUAAAGAGUAACGGAGGAGCACGAAGGUUGGCUAAUCCUGGUCGGACAUCAGGAGGUUAGUGCAAUGGCAUAAGCCAGCUUGACUGCGAGCGUGACGGCGCGAGCAGGUGCGAAAGCAGGUCAUAGUGAUCCGGUGGUUCUGAAUGGAAGGGCCAUCGCUCAACGGAUAAAAGGUACUCCGGGGAUAACAGGCUGAUACCGCCCAAGAGUUCAUAUCGACGGCGGUGUUUGGCACCUCGAUGUCGGCUCAUCACAUCCUGGGGCUGAAGUAGGUCCCAAGGGUAUGGCUGUUCGCCAUUUAAAGUGGUACGCGAGCUGGGUUUAGAACGUCGUGAGACAGUUCGGUCCCUAUCUGCCGUGGGCGCUGGAGAACUGAGGGGGGCUGCUCCUAGUACGAGAGGACCGGAGUGGACGCAUCACUGGUGUUCGGGUUGUCAUGCCAAUGGCACUGCCCGGUAGCUAAAUGCGGAAGAGAUAAGUGCUGAAAGCAUCUAAGCACGAAACUUGCC